GCUUGGAGGUUGUGCCCUUGAGGCGUGGCUUCCGGAGCUAACGCGUUAAGUCGACCGCCUGGGGAGUACGGCCGCAAGGUUAAAACUCAAAUGAAUUGACGGGGGCCCGCACAAGCGGUGGAGCAUGUGGUUUAAUUCGAUGCAACGCGAAGAACCUUACCUGGUCUUGACAUCCACAGAACUUUCCAGAGAUGGAUUGGUGCCUUCGGGAACUGUGAGACAGGUGCUGCAUGGCUGUCGUCAGCUCGUGUUGUGAAAUGUUGGGUUAAGUCCCGCAACGAGCGCAACCCUUAUCCUUUGUUGCCAGCGGUCCGGCCGGGAACUCAAAGGAGACUGCCAGUGAUAAACUGGAGGAAGGUGGGGAUGACGUCAAGUCAUCAUGGCCCUUACGACCAGGGCUACACACGUGCUACAAUGGCGCAUACAAAGAGAAGCAAUCUCGCGAGAGCUAGCGGACCUCAUAAAGUGCGUCGUAGUCCGGAUUGGAGUCUGCAACUCGACUCCAUGAAGUCGGAAUCGCUAGUAAUCGUGAAUCAGAAUGUCACGGUGAAUACGUUCCCGGGCCUUGUACACACCGCCCGUCACACCAUGGGAGUGGGUUGCAAAAGAAGUAGGUAGCUUAACCUUCGGGAGGGCGCUUACCACUUUGUGAUUCAUGACUGGGGUGAAGUCGUACGG
Molecule: ribosomal RNA, 678 nt
Filed under: Enterobacter sp. DDC84
Lineage: Bacteria; Pseudomonadati; Pseudomonadota; Gammaproteobacteria; Enterobacterales; Enterobacteriaceae
Description: bacterial SSU rRNA
Rfam family: Bacterial small subunit ribosomal RNA
Source: RNAcentral